Molecule: microRNA, 21 nt
Filed under: Xenopus laevis (African clawed frog)
Lineage: Eukaryota; Metazoa; Chordata; Amphibia; Anura; Pipidae
Description: Xla-Mir-430-o5p1_5p (mature (guide))
Source: RNAcentral
ACCCAAAACUAAGCUCUCUCU